Homo sapiens (human) is the source of this 2137-nucleotide long non-coding RNA. NCBI's taxonomy places the organism in Eukaryota, Metazoa, Chordata, Mammalia, Primates, Hominidae. The record is from Ensembl.
UCCGAACGCCCGCAGCAGGGUCAGAAGGGAGGUGGUCGCCCUCCGUCGUGGUCUGGCGUGUAUUCCGAGCCUUGGUGUCUGGCGGUUUCCGAGCGUUGGUGUCUGGCGGUUUCCGAGCGUUGGUGUCUUGGCGGUUUCCGACCGUUGGUGUCUGGCGGUUUCCGACCGUUGGUGUCUGGCACGCGCCACCCUCUCUUGCUUUGGUUGCGCCAUGCCGAUGUACCAGACAAGAAGACAAGAAAAUGAUUUGAGGACAGCUUCAAUCGCGGUGUGAAGAAGAAAGCAGCAAAACGACCACUGAAAACAACGCCGGUGGCAAAAUAUCCAAAGAAAGGGUCCCAAGCGGUACAUCGUCAUAGCCGGAAACAGUCAGAGCCACCAGCCAAUGAUCUUUUCAAUGCUGCGAAAGCUGCCAAAAGUGACAUGCAGCACCGAGAAGUCCGCGUGAAGUGCGUGAAGGCUCUGAAAGGGCUGUACGGUAACCGGGACCUGACCGCACGCCUGGAGCUCUUCACUGGCCGCUUCAAGGACUGGAUGGUUUCCAUGAUCAUGGACAGAGAGUACAGUGUGGCAGUGGAGGCCGUCAGAUUACUGAUACUUAUCCUUAAGAACAUGGAAGGGGUGCUGAUGGACGUGGACUGUGAGAGCGUCUACCCCAUUGUGUAGGCCUCUAAUUGAGGCCUGGCCUCUGCUGUGGGUGAAUUUCUGUACUGGAAACUUUUCUACCCUGAGUGCGAGAUAAGAACGAUGGGUGGAAGAGAGCAACGCCAGAGCCCAGGUGCCCAGAGGACUUUCUUCCAGCUUCUGCUGUCCUUCUUUGUGGAGAGCAAGCUCCACGACCACGCUGCUUACUUAGUAGACAACCUGUGGGACUGUGCAGGGACUCAGCUGAAGGACUGGGAGGGUCUGACAAGCCUGCUGCUGGAGAAGGACCAGAGCACGUGCCACAUGGAGCCAGGGCCAGGGACCUUCCACCUCCUAGGGUGAAACCAGGAGAGAUUGCUUGCUUCACUUGUACAAGGCAGGAACGGUGGCAUGGGGUGGGGGAAACUUGGAGUUGGAAGGUGGCUAAUCUUUGAUUCUAUGUUUUUGAUCCUCCUGGCACUCCAGACCUGGGUGAUGUGCAGGAGAGCACACUGAUAGAAAUCCUUGUGUCCAGUGCCCAGCAACUCCUGCCUCAGCCUCCCGAGCAGCUGGGACUACAGGCGCCCGCCACCACGCCUGGCUAACUUUUUUGUAUUUUUAGUAGAGACGGGUUUUCACCGUGUUAGCCAGGAUGGUCUUGAUCUCUUGACCUUGUGAUCCACCUGCCUCAUCAUCCCAAAGUGCUGGGAUUACAGGCGUGAGCCACUGCGCCCAGCAUGUUAGACAAUUUUUAAUUCAUCCUCUCUGUGCUGUUGUUUUCUCAGCUGUGAAAGGAAUAUUCUGGUGGGGACAAGGUUACAGAGUUGCUGAGAGGGUCUCAUGACAUGAAGGUACUGGCCUUGGCACAGUGCCUGGGGGGGCGGGGACUCCGCACAUGCCUGUGAUGUCACAGUUACUGUCAGUUCACAGCGAACCUUCCCUCCUUUUCCUGUUGACUUUCCCACACUCCUGUAACCCUCCCUCCCUCCCUUCUUCCUCUCUCUCUCUCUCACUCACGCACACGCACACACACACACACACACACACACACACACACUCCAUUCUCUGUCUCCAUGACUCUGGAGUAAACUAACGUCUCGAGUUGCCAUUGGAAGCCCCAUUGUCCUCAUUUUGUUUUGUUUUGUUUGUUUGAGACGGGGUCUCGCUCUGUCCCCCAGGCUGGAGUGCAGUGGUGCGAUCUCAGCCCACUGCAGCCUCCGCCUCCUAGGUUCAAGCGAUUCUCCUGCCUCACCCUCCUGAGUAGCUGUGAUCAUAGGUGCCCGCCACCACACCCGACUAAUUUUUGUGUUUUUUAGUAGAGACAGGGUUUCACUAUGUUGGCCAGGCUGGUCUCAAACUCCUGACCUCAGGUGAUCCGCCCACCUUGGCCUCCCAAAGUGCUGGGAUUACAGGAGUGAGCCACCAUGCCCAGCCUCCGUUGUCCUCAUUUAGACUUUCAUGGGUUAUAGGCACUUUUGACUUCCUGGGGUCCUUCUUCAGUUAAAAAAAAAAA